RNAcentral lists this ribosomal RNA (430 nucleotides) under uncultured bacterium. RNAcentral's name for it is "bacterial SSU rRNA". It matches the Rfam family "Bacterial small subunit ribosomal RNA", at positions 948 to 1382 of the family's 1533-position model. The record is from RNAcentral.
AAUUCGAUGCAACGCGAACAACCUUACCUACCCUUGACAUGUCUGGAAGCCUGCUGAGAGGCGGGUGUGCCCGAAAGGGAACCGGAACACAGGUGCUGCAUGGCUGUCGUCAGCUCGUGUCGUGAGAUGUUGGGUUAAGUCCCGCAACGAGCGCAACCCUUGUCCCUAGUUGCUACGCAAGGGCACUCUAGGGAGACUGCCGGUGACAAACCGGAGGAAGGUGGGGAUGACGUCAAGUCCUCAUGGCCCUUAUGGGUAGGGCUUCACACGUCAUACAAUGGCCGGUACAGAGGGUUGCCAAGCCGCGAGGUGGAGCCAAUCCCAGAAAGCCGGUCGUAGUCCGGAUUGCAGUCUGCAACUCGACUGCAUGAAGUCGGAAUCGCUAGUAAUCGCGGAUCAGCAUGUCGCGGUGAAUACGUUCCCGGGUCUU